AGAGUUUGAUCCUGGCUCAGAUUGAACGCUGGCGGCAUGCCUUACACAUGCAAGUCGAACGGCAUCACGGGAGCAAUCCUGGUGGCGAGUGGCGAACGGGUGAGUAAUGUAUCGGAACGUGCCCAGUCGUGGGGGAUAACGUAGCGAAAGCUACGCUAAUACCGCAUACGAUCUAUGGAUGAAAGCGGGGGAUCGCAAGACCUCGCGCGAUUGGAGCGGCCGAUAUCAGAUUAGGUAGUUGGUGGGGUAAAGGCUCACCAAGCCAACGAUCUGUAGCUGGUCUGAGAGGACGACCAGCCACACUGGAACUGAGACACGGUCCAGACUCCUACGGGAGGCAGCAGUGGGGAAUUUUGGACAAUGGGCGCAAGCCUGAUCCAGCAAUGCCGCGUGCAGGAUGAAGGCCUUCGGGUUGUAAACUGCUUUUGUACGGAACGAAACGGCGAGCUCUAAUACAGUUUGCUAAUGACGGUACCGUAAGAAUAAGCACCGGCUAACUACGUGCCAGCAGCCGCGGUAAUACGUAGGGUGCAAGCGUUAAUCGGAAUUACUGGGCGUAAAGCGUGCGCAGGCGGUGAUGUAAGACAGUUGUGAAAUCCCCGGGCUUAACCUGGGAACUGCAUCUGUGAUUGCAUCGCUGGAGUGCGGCAGAGGGGGAUGGAAUUCCGCGUGUAGCAGUGAAAUGCGUAGAUAUGCGGAGGAACACCGAUGGCGAAGGCAAUCCCCUGGGCCUGCACUGACGCUCAUGCACGAAAGCGUGGGGAGCAAACAGGAUUAGAUACCCUGGUAGUCCACGCCCUAAACGAUGUCAACUGGUUGUUGGGUCUUCACUGACUCAGUAACGAAGCUAACGCGUGAAGUUGACCGCCUGGGGAGUACGGCCGCAAGGUUGAAACUCAAAUGAAUUGACGG
This 912-nucleotide ribosomal RNA is filed under the name uncultured bacterium. RNAcentral's name for it is "bacterial SSU rRNA". It matches the Rfam family "Bacterial small subunit ribosomal RNA", at positions 8 to 916 of the family's 1533-position model. The record is from RNAcentral.